This 257-nucleotide ribosomal RNA is filed under the name uncultured bacterium. RNAcentral describes it as "partial 16S ribosomal RNA". It matches the Rfam family "Bacterial small subunit ribosomal RNA", at positions 524 to 776 of the family's 1533-position model. The record is from RNAcentral.
UACAGAGGGGGCAAGCGUUAUUCGGAAUUAUUGGGCGUAAAGGGCGCGUAGGCGGCUUUGCAAGUGACGGGUGAAAUCCCUCGGCUUAACCGAGGAACUGCCUGUCAGACUGCAUGGCUUGAGACCAGGAGAGGUGAGUGGAAUUCCCAGUGUAGCGGUGAAAUGCGUAGAUAUCGGGAGGAAUACCUAUGGCGAAGGCAGCUCGCUGGGACGUUACUGACGCUGGAGAACGCGAAAGCCGUGGGGGAGCAAACAGG